Molecule: long non-coding RNA, 629 nt
Organism: Austrofundulus limnaeus
Lineage: Eukaryota; Metazoa; Chordata; Actinopteri; Cyprinodontiformes; Rivulidae
Exons: 3
Source: RefSeq, a predicted model, not a curated record
CCAUGACCAGGUGACCCUGUGACCAGGUGAUCCUGUGACCAGGUGACCCUGUGACCAAGUGAUCCUGUGACCAGGUGACCCUGUGACCAGGUGAUCCUGUGACCAGGUGACCCUGUGACCAGGUGACCCUGUGACCAGAUGAUCCUGUGACCAGGUGACCAGGUGAUCCUGUGACCAGGUGACCAGGUGAUCCUGUGACCAGGUGACCCUGUGACCAGGUGAUCCUGUGACCAGGUGACCAGGUGAUCCUGUGACCAGGUGAUCCUGUGACCAGGUGACCAGGUGAUCCUGUGACCAGGUGAUCCUGUGACCAGGUGACCAGGUGAUCCUGUGACCAGGUGAUCCUGUGACCAGGUGACCCUGUGACCAGGUGAUCCUGUGACCAAGUGAUCCUGUGACCAAGUGAUCCUGUGACCAGGUGACCAGGUGAUCCUGUGACCAGGUGAUCCUGUGACCAAGUGAUCCUGUGACCAGGUGAUCCUGUGACCAAGUGAUCCUGUGACCAGGUGACCAGGUGAUCCUGUGACCAGGUGACCCUGUGACCAGGUGACCAGGAGAUCCUGUGACUAAGUGACCCUGUGACCAAGUGACCCUGUGACCAGGUGACCCUGUGACCAUGUGAUCCUGUG